GAUGAACGCUGGCGGCGUGCCUAAUACAUGCAAGUCGAGCGAACAGACGAGGAGCUUGCUCCUCUGACGUUAGCGGCGGACGGGUGAGUAACACGUGGAUAACCUACCUAUAAGACUGGGAUAACUUCGGGAAACCGGAGCUAAUACCGGAUAAUAUAUUGAACCGCAUGGUUCAAUAGUGAAAGACGGUUUUGCUGUCACUUAUAGAUGGAUCCGCGCCGUAUUAGCUAGUUGGUAAGGUAACGGCUUACCAAGGCAACGAUGCGUAGCCGACCUGAGAGGGUGAUCGGCCACACUGGAACUGAGACACGGUCCAGACUCCUACGGGAGGCAGCAGUAGGGAAUCUUCCGCAAUGGGCGAAAGCUUGACGGAGCAACGCCGCGUGAGUGAUGAAGGUCUUCGGAUCGUAAAACUCUGUUAUUAGGGAAGAACAAAUGUGUAAGUAACUAUGCACGUCUUGACGGUACCUAAUCAGAAAGCCACGGCUAACUACGU
This 496-nucleotide ribosomal RNA is filed under the name uncultured bacterium. RNAcentral's name for it is "partial 16S ribosomal RNA". It matches the Rfam family "Bacterial small subunit ribosomal RNA", at positions 28 to 506 of the family's 1533-position model. The record is from RNAcentral.